CUUGAGGGAAGUAGGGCCCUGUCCUUGACCACUUACCAGGGCCUGUCCCUCAUUCACCCGACCCAACUUUGCUGGGGGGUGUGAGGUGGGGUAAUUUAUUCAGUUCUAACCAGGAAAGGUAAAAUUAUAACAGGAUUAAUAACACAAGUGUCAUGGCCUUCCAAGGGCCCCAAGACGAUCCCAUCCCCCUUCCCUGCUCAGAACCUGCCUGUCCUGCACCCUGGCCUGUCCUCUGGAGGUUAUCUGAUGAGGGCCUAUUCUGAGGGAAGCCCUCCCUGACUGCAGGUGCCUCCUUAGACUCCUCCAUCCCGGUGCUGGAUCUGGCAUGACCUCUGAAGUGCCCGGUGUCCAGCCUGGCAGAGUGGACGACGAGAAACAGGGGGCCCAGGCCCCAGCUUCAGCAUCAAGCCACCCAGGACAUGCAUCUGGCCUUUUGGAAAAUAGCCUGGAGAAUGCAGAGGAGAGGCUGCAGUCAGGCUGGCUGUGGCUGGAAAGAACCUGCUGUGGAUGAAGUUGACCUGGGACCCACGUGACCUGAGUGAAAAGAGCUAUGGGUUUGCAGGGGACACCGGUGCCCUGCUGCAGGUGGUUCUAGAGCUAGCAAGAAGUACCUGUGGGCACACUGGAGCAUAGGCCUUGAUGUUUGCAGUGCUCCAGGCAAAAGGACAAGUGGAGGCUCACAUACCAGAAUCUAAAUAUUAAACAACCAUAAAUCAAGCUGCUAAUGAAAUGUGUUCUAUCCUCCUACUGAACAAAUAAGCUUUCAUAGGAGUAAAAACAUCUGUAAAUCUACAGUUUUUAUAUAUCUGAAAGUCAGCAGAUAUCCAAAAUGAUGAAACUUAGUAAUUAUCACUCAUGUCCAGGUGUUCAGUGACCUGAGGUUUAAGUGAGAGAAUGAAGACUUGCCUGAUGCCUAAGAUAUUCUGUAUUUAUUCUGUAACAUUGAUUCUCCUCGUCUUUAGUCUAGUAAAAUGAUUGAUUAUGUUGUUACAGUCAAGACUUCUACACUAUUACUGUUCUUUUCAUAGUAAUGAUUAAAAAGAUUAAAAUAAGGCUGGGCAUGGUGGCUCACACAUGUAAUCCCAGAGCUUUGAGAAACCAAAGUGACAGGAUUGCUUGAGGCAGGAGUUCAAGUUUACAGUAAGCUAUGACUAUACUACUGUACUCCAGACUGGGCAACAGAGCAAGACCCUGUCUAUAAAAAAAAUAAUAAUUUUUAAAAAGACUAAAAUAAAAUAUUGGCCAGGUGUGGUGGCUCACACCUGU
Molecule: long non-coding RNA, 1266 nt
Filed under: Homo sapiens (human)
Lineage: Eukaryota; Metazoa; Chordata; Mammalia; Primates; Hominidae
Description: HSALNT0054519
Source: RNAcentral